GGAGAUCCCUGCAUACCUGGUGGCUUUAUGAGUCUUCUAAAGAGAGAGAUAAGCCAUUCCAGAUUUCCUUAAUUUCUCAGCCAGCUUCAAGUAUAACACACAAACCCAACUUGAUAUUGAAGGUGUGCAGAAUUCCCAAUUGACUGAGAUGCACCUAGCCCUUCUGUAUGGACCCUGUGACCGUGGAGAUUCGCAUACAAGAUCCUUAUAGACCUACCUUAAUUGGUCGGUGUUUUCCAGAGAGUUACCUACAACUCAGUGGAAUUCUUAUUUUAUGUCUUCUAACGUUCCCUUUGAUGUUGCACAAAAUGAUCUAACGGUUUUAACUACCUAUUGCUCCACACCUGUGGUUUUUUGGACUGCACAAAGCAUAGAUACCACCAGUCUUUUGUUUCCAUGUAAGUUCAUUUUAUACGCCUGUGUAGGACCUGACAAAUCGUUUAUAGGACAAUUUUCAGAACGGGUAUGCUUUCGGUUAGAGUUGUGCACAAACACCGCCUCUUACAAUUAAACCCUAGGAUUUCUACAGAACAUGUAACUCUCUGGUUAAAUCAGUAGCGUUCACAAGUCAGAACCUCAAGUGUGAAAUUGCAUGGAAAGCCCCACAUCCAUCUCCAUUUUGUUAUGUUUGUUCCAGUAUUUUGAGAGAAGUAAUGCUUCGCUCUGGACUAGGAGUGCCAUUAGCGCACUCAGCUAUGUGAUCACAGUCAGGACACUAUUCCAAAGAAUGGGGCACGCCGUGCCACGGAACACAAAGCAGAGACAUACUGCGGAAGAACAGUUCAAACACAGAAGUUUGGAUAAACCAAGCUCUUUGCAGUUCUGCACCACGCUUGCUUUAAGAUGCCAGAAGCUUCCUCCAGACAGGCCAGGUAUUCAAAACAGCCUGCUGGCAGCAAAGAGCCGACUGCCAGAAUCAGGCAAGAGGUCUGUAUUUCACAAUGAAGUUCCUGUGAUACUUCAGAUUUAUUUUUCUGCUGAAAUUUUAAAAAUAGGAUAAAAGAGGUCACGGAUACAGGUAGGCAAUCCAGCGUAGUGAGGGCUGCAGCAGAAGACAGAAUCCUGUCUGUUUUCUUCUUAUUAUGAAAUAAGAAGGGAGCUAUGAAUCAUCGCAGCAUAGACAAAUCAUCUGAGGCAUCUUCAAACAGCUGCUUGACUGACUGCUGUAAUGCUGCCUGUCAUUCAAUGAGAAGAACUGCGGCUCAUGCUUACCAGUUGAUAGAAAUGUGCCCAAAGCCAGACUGAAACCCUUAACUUCAUCAAACAAUGUGAUUUUAGAAGCUCCUCAAUUAAAGCCUCUUCCGAGCAGACGAACGGACCUCUGUGUAAGCCAGGUGGGCACCAGCAUGGCAGAUUGGAAGGAGCUGUUGGGAAGGAGCUGGAAAACAGAUGCAGAACUGCAAGGGUUCUGGGUCACCAGAGAAACUCCUAAUUCUGAACUGCUGCCAAGAUUAGCAAGUUUAGGUUGGGAACAAAAUGGAAAAGCAGAAAUGUAUUGAUGCCUGCUUCCCAGGCUUGCCAUCUCAUACAGUCAGUGCAGACAAAGCACCCCAGCAGCUGGAUCCCAGUUGAUCUGGAGCCCACCUUGAAUUUCUGGGCAUUCCCCCUUCUCAUUUGUAUUACCAUCUCAGCAUAAACAACAUCAUGUAUAAAGCCCUUCCCACAAAGCAAUGUCAUCCCCUCAAUAAAAUAAAACAGGAAUUAUGAGAAAAAUCAUGAUAUUCACAUGCGAAUAUAUUCACUUUUU
This is a long non-coding RNA of Numida meleagris (helmeted guineafowl), 1747 nucleotides long. RefSeq lists it as uncharacterized. Lineage: Eukaryota; Metazoa; Chordata; Aves; Galliformes; Numididae. The record is from RefSeq and is a predicted model, not a curated record. The transcript has 3 exons.